UUAGAAAGGUUUUUACUUCGAAUGUGCACGGCUUGUCCACAUGGCUGAGAUUAGUGCUCAAUACUCAUAUAAUGCUUUUCAUCCUCAAAAGGACUUUACAAGCUCCAGCCCUCAAAACACCCCCACAAGUUACUGGAUGGCUUCUUCCUGGAAGAAUGGAUGGAACACAAAUCGAUGGAGUCUGGUAUUGCUAAUUUAAGGAGAAGCUGGGGCAGAUGUUGACGUGAGAUCUGGAGCACACCUUCGCGGUGGGGGUACCAGGACAGAAGAACUCCCAUCACCGCUUUUACUCUGAGGGAUGAGGAGCAGGCCUGUACCGUGGUCAGGAGCACAGAGGAGGUUUGUGUAGAUGUUCCAGAGCUUCAGAAACACACACUUGACCUUCGAGAGUUGCUGCUGAUUUGUUCAGUGCUCACACAGUGUGCAGCACAGGCCUCCUGGGUGCUGCUGCAGUACAGCCACCUUUCCUUUUGUUUGGGCACCUUUAUCAGUACAGCUAAAGGGAACACUGUGUGGACUGUGAAUUCCUCUCCAAGAUCAUGUAAAUACUUGGACAGUACAUGCUGUUUCUCUAGUAUUAAUCUAACUAAUUAAAACUGGUUUGCAUACAUCUGCAGCUACAGCAGAAGUUUAAUGAUAAAUAUUCCCAAAUGU
This is a long non-coding RNA of Melospiza georgiana, 654 nucleotides long. RefSeq lists it as uncharacterized. Lineage: Eukaryota; Metazoa; Chordata; Aves; Passeriformes; Passerellidae. The transcript is spliced from 3 exons. The record is from RefSeq and is a predicted model, not a curated record.